This 481-nucleotide ribosomal RNA is filed under the name Cladosporium cladosporioides. RNAcentral's name for it is "eukaryotic LSU rRNA". The stretch from base 124 to 277 matches the Rfam family "5.8S ribosomal RNA". Lineage: Eukaryota; Fungi; Ascomycota; Dothideomycetes; Cladosporiales; Cladosporiaceae. The record is from RNAcentral.
UAACCCUUUGUUGUCCGACUCUGUUGCCUCCGGGGCGACCCUGCCUUCGGGCGGGGGCUCCGGGUGGACACUUCAAACUCUUGCGUAACUUUGCAGUCUGAGUAAACUUAAUUAAUAAAUUAAAACUUUUAACAACGGAUCUCUUGGUUCUGGCAUCGAUGAAGAACGCAGCGAAAUGCGAUAAGUAAUGUGAAUUGCAGAAUUCAGUGAAUCAUCGAAUCUUUGAACGCACAUUGCGCCCCCUGGUAUUCCGGGGGGCAUGCCUGUUCGAGCGUCAUUUCACCACUCAAGCCUCGCUUGGUAUUGGGCAACGCGGUCCGCCGCGUGCCUCAAAUCGACCGGCUGGGUCUUCUGUCCCCUAAGCGUUGUGGAAACUAUUCGCUAAAGGGUGUUCGGGAGGCUACGCCGUAAAACAACCCCAUUUCUAAGGUUGACCUCGGAUCAGGUAGGGAUACCCGCUGAACUUAAGCAUAUCAAUAAG